This is a transfer RNA of Schizosaccharomyces cryophilus OY26, 71 nucleotides long. It matches the Rfam family "tRNA". Rfam says of the family: Transfer RNA (tRNA) molecules are approximately 80 nucleotides in length. Their secondary structure includes four short double-helical elements and three loops (D, anti-codon, and T loops). Lineage: Eukaryota; Fungi; Ascomycota; Schizosaccharomycetes; Schizosaccharomycetales; Schizosaccharomycetaceae. The record is from Rfam.
GCUUUGGUGGUUUAGUGGUAUAAUGCUUCGUUGCCAUCGAAGCGACCCGGGUUCGAUUCCCGGCCGAAGCA